CCCUGUUUGUGGGCCUUUGGGAGGUGAUUAGGUUAUGAGUGUGGAGUGCUCAUGAAUGGGAUGAGUGCGCUCAUAAAAGAGGCCCCAGAGAUCCUUCGCCGCUUCCGCCCCGUGAGGACACAUCAGGAAGAGAGCUAUGAAUCAAGAAGAGAGCUCUCACAGGACACCAAAUCUGUCGGAGCCUUGAUCUUGGACUUCCCAGCUUCCAGAACUCAGGAAAUGACUGACCUGCCUGGCCAUGUCGAGUGACAUAUAAUCCAUGCCUGUAGCAGGGAACCCCUAAGGGGUGAACAUGAGGUUUUAGCCUCUUCCUACACCUGACAGAGAGGAGAAUGAACGGUGGACAUCAUCCCACAGAGCCGUGGCAUGCCAAGAUGCUCUGUGCCUGGAAAGCUGACCACUGUGGAUUGCAGCACUUGGACUCUAACUUCCAGGUGCGGGAGGACGAGGGUGUUUCUUCUGCUGUCUCGGGCCUCGAAAAAUCCAGAACCUGAUGCUCCAGACCCCAAAUGAGGAGGACUGGAGACCUGAGCCCUGGGAGCAUUCCACUCUGGGACUCUCUGCUUGCUGGAGUGGAAGGAACUUGUCGGCACGUGAAAUGGUGAUGGUGGAGGAAAUUGGAGGAUGGUGACCACAAAUGUGACCAGCACAGUUUGUCCUUCCGUACGUAAUGCCCUUCCCAGGAGUGAUCAGGCCACAGAUGUCCACGGGGAGGGGGAAGGGGUUCCCACUGGC
This is a long non-coding RNA of Nyctereutes procyonoides (raccoon dog), 735 nucleotides long. RefSeq lists it as uncharacterized. The record is from RefSeq and is a predicted model, not a curated record. The transcript has 4 exons. Lineage: Eukaryota; Metazoa; Chordata; Mammalia; Carnivora; Canidae.